GGCAGGCCCUGUCAGGGGAGGCAAAGGGCUCCGAAGCCACCCUUGACCCACUUCCCAGGCCAGGCCCACUCUCACGUCCCCACCUCCUCCCCUUCUGCCUGAGGGUCCCCUCCACUUCCACAUCUUGUUGACUUUUGAAUUUACAAGUUUUGAAUUUACAGUUUGCCAAGGCCCUGAAAUGAUUGCACCCCCGGACCCACCUUGGGAAAGCAUCCUCCUCACCCAGGUCAUCGCAGCUGGCGGAAGAAGGCAGGGGACACAAGCUGGGGUCUCCCACGUGCUGUGAAGAAACCAAAGAGGAAAAUCAUUAAAAAGCAUUGCAACAGAGAGAA
This 332-nucleotide long non-coding RNA is filed under the name Marmota monax (woodchuck). The record is from RNAcentral. Lineage: Eukaryota; Metazoa; Chordata; Mammalia; Rodentia; Sciuridae.